GACAUUUUAGUAUAUUUCGUACAUUUGAUUUCCAAUCAAAAAGAAAUAAAUAUUA
Molecule: transfer RNA, 55 nt
Filed under: Mastigoproctus giganteus (giant whipscorpion)
Lineage: Eukaryota; Metazoa; Arthropoda; Arachnida; Uropygi; Thelyphonidae
Description: tRNA-Gly
Source: RNAcentral